GGAGGACGUAUCCCGACUCUCCUCAGCUCAAGCUUCGCGAUGGCAACGGUUUUGUGGCGAUCGGGCUCCGUUUGCAAAUCGACGGUCGAGAUCGUCCGUAAAUCUCUCCGGAUGAUCGGGUGUCAGAUCGAAAAAUCGAAAGCGGGGAUCGUCAUCAGCGCGUCGUUGUGAGUCCGAUGGUGUGUUCGGAUCGUCGAUCGG
Molecule: long non-coding RNA, 201 nt
Filed under: Ricinus communis (castor bean)
Lineage: Eukaryota; Viridiplantae; Streptophyta; Magnoliopsida; Malpighiales; Euphorbiaceae
Description: long non-coding RNA (RCOM_LNC001687)
Source: RNAcentral